UUCACUCAGUAUCUAAAUCGACAGCCAACUCUCUUCAGUUCAUAAACACCCCGCUUUUUAAAUAUUGGAGGUAUACAACUAAAAGCUAGUAUGCCUGUUCUCAAUAAUUGAAUAAAAUUUGCAAUGUCAAAUUUAACCAUACUUCUGUGACCUUAAUUAUACUUCAAGCACCAAAAGCAAUGCCACCAGGAUUAAGGUCCUUGAUCCAAGCAUCUAACAUGGUGUCAAGAGAUGGCUCACGUUAAGGG
RNAcentral lists this unclassified non-coding RNA (248 nucleotides) under Hevea brasiliensis (rubber tree). The record is from RNAcentral. Lineage: Eukaryota; Viridiplantae; Streptophyta; Magnoliopsida; Malpighiales; Euphorbiaceae.